RNAcentral lists this long non-coding RNA (229 nucleotides) under Elaeis guineensis (African oil palm). RNAcentral's name for it is "long non-coding RNA (EGUI_LNC020267)". Lineage: Eukaryota; Viridiplantae; Streptophyta; Magnoliopsida; Arecales; Arecaceae. The record is from RNAcentral.
UCAUAUUCUUAGAAAAAUAGUUUAUCCAGGAUGGUGGCAGUGGGAGGUUAGUUAAGCUCGAAGAGAAGGUCACUGAAGAGCCAAGAGCUAUAGAUCUUUAGAAACCCAUUAUCUAUGAGUCAGUAGUAGAUGUUCCUCAACCACCUCGUAGAUCUAGUAUGGUCUCCCGACCUUCUAAAAGAUACAUGGAUAUACUUACAGAGGAAGUAAAGAAAAUAUUUCUUAUGGG